GGCCAUAGCUCAGUGGUAGAACACCUGUUUUGCAUGCAGAAGGUCCCAGGUACCAUCCUUGGGAUCUCUA
This is a non-coding RNA of Podarcis lilfordi (Lilford's wall lizard), 70 nucleotides long. The record is from the annotation of a GenBank genome assembly. Lineage: Eukaryota; Metazoa; Chordata; Lepidosauria; Squamata; Lacertidae.